GCCAGCAGCCAUAUCACCCUGCGACUCACUCCUGGCAACCCACUGAAGCUAAGCAGGUGUGAGCCUGCUCAGUACCUGGAUGGGAGACCUCCUGGGAAAAACUAAGGUUGCUGCUGGAA
This 119-nucleotide ribosomal RNA is filed under the name Lepisosteus oculatus (spotted gar). Lineage: Eukaryota; Metazoa; Chordata; Actinopteri; Semionotiformes; Lepisosteidae. The record is from RNAcentral.